CCAAAUCGCCAAGGCCGAGGAGAAAGCAACGGAGAAAUUCUUAUCAUACUUCACGGUGGAUCGCUACCAGAAGAUUACCAAGCAUGAAGAGAUCGAGAUUGCAUCCCUACUACCUUCGCUUCAAAUCUCAAAUGUAAGUAAAUCUACCGACAUCCAAUCUAUUAAGCAACAACAGGAUGAAAUGAAACAACACAUUGGAGGGUUGGAAAAAACAAUUAUAAAAUUAACACGUACAUUUGAGAAAUCUGUUGCUCCUAGUUUUUCGUCAUACGAAACUAGCAAUACGAUAUCUGUGUCUAAUACAUCGGUAGCAAACGAGGAUUCACCAUGUACUAAACAGAGACAUGUACUAAGCAGAAGAAAACCCGACAAAAAUGUACCACUGAUUCACCAUUCACCAUAUCAGGAGGAGGACUUGAUUUGUGCAUGCCUCAGCCUCGCAUAUAACCAUUAAUUACUGAUGAAUCUGAAAUCUUCAGGACCGGAAGUGAUCGAUGAUCGUCGCCUCGGCGUCGACAGUGAACAGACAGACCCGAGGGUACGGUGGAGAAUAUUCCGGGCGGCUCUCGACAUAUUCUCCUCCGUCUCUGUGUGGAUGGAUGGGUGGAGACGAGGAAAGGUGGAGGCUUGGGCUGCAAGGAGGGGAGGUGACCACGUCCUUGGCCUUGAUUCCCG
RNAcentral lists this long non-coding RNA (675 nucleotides) under Zea mays. Its description in RNAcentral is "long non-coding RNA (ZMAY_LNC003096)". The record is from RNAcentral. Lineage: Eukaryota; Viridiplantae; Streptophyta; Magnoliopsida; Poales; Poaceae.